AAAAAAAAAAAAAAAAAAAAGGGAAAAAAAUUCCUGUUUGUCCUUUCUUUGAGCAAAACGUACCAUUUGGCUUAUUUCCGUGAAUUCCGCCGUUUUGUUCUUACUUGAGAUUGCAUUGGUUCGGUUUUGCCAUAGAGAAAAAUGGCUAUGCAGAAA
Molecule: non-coding RNA, 156 nt
Filed under: Sexangularia sp. CB-2014
Lineage: Eukaryota; Tubulinea; Elardia; Arcellinida
Source: RNAcentral